GGUGGCCGUGGAGCUCCUUAAUCUUUGCUUCAACUCACAGGCUGAGUGUCUGCCCUGUUUUGUCACCAUGGACCUAUUUGGCAUUACUGGGUAUUACCUUGAUCUAUGAGUUGACUUCCUGGCUGGAGCUGGGACCUGCCUCCUCACUGUAGUGUUGUAUUGUGAUGGGGCUGUGGGUUGCCCCUGGCUACUGUCUUCUACCCCCUGACUUGAGGAUGCCCUAUCUUUUAGGGAGCAGCCAGCCCUUGCUGUGUGCUGACGUUGUGUUCCUAGAUCUGCUGCUGAUUCGACAUGCAGAAAGAUUUGAAGAGCCUUCUCCCUGGGACUCGUACAAUAAUCUUGCUCUUUGAGAGAAGAAAUAAGGGUGACACCGUUACAUUUUUAAGGGCAAACGUUCUUCUUGAGCAACAGGUAAGUGUGUUUUUGCUGAUGUUCUUGUAGGUGUUGGCAGAGGCACAUCCGCCGAUGACAGAGCCCUCCGGAUGCCUCUUUACUGGCCCAUUACAAAGCUGCUCAGCAAGGUUGGUCACUGUCAAGAUGAUGGCAUUGAGUACAUUGAGAAGAGUGGUGAUGGAAAUGAGGAAACAAUCAGGAACUGUGCUGGAAAAACAUGCCAAGGAUUCGCUGCAGUCAGAUUCGAGGUGCUGCCCCCCAAAUUACAACCUGUAAUAGACCUCGUUACACCACAGCAUCAUCAGGUUACCUUCAGCACUACGCCAGAACCCCAUGACGCUUCGAUGGGUCUGAAAGCAGCAGCCCAUUUAGAAGGAAAUUUUCAAAACACUCAACUACUCCGGCAUCGUGGGAGGAAGCUGAAAGAUGUUGGCAUUUCAUGAGGCAAUAUCUUCACUUCAGCAGCCAGAGACCAAGUGUCCCCUUUCAGCACUCGGGAACAUAUGUGCCUGGCAGUGGUUAUUAGCAGCAGGCUAAGAAUCACAACGUGCAAUUAUUUGUGAUGACACUGACAUUUGAGGGCUGCGUUUUCCUCAGCACCUGCCUUACAGAUUUCCCUCCACCUGGUAGUCUGCAACAGGAUCUCUUCUAAUGAGUUUUCAAAUAGAUCCCAUGAAUCUUCAUUACAUCUUGUGGGAAUCCGGCAUGUUAUAAAUAGGAAUGGCUCCAAGAAUGAUAAGAAUGUUCUCCUAUCGUUGCCGAACCGACCUAGAUUUUGUUAAAAGGGAAAGCUGAUAAAUUUGAGCUUACUUGUGCAUCUAGGAUGCUAUAGUGGUCAAAACCGGUGAGGAGAAGUCAAACAUAGUCCUACUUCUGUAAAUAUACAAAGCAUGGUUGAUUAGAACCUUGGUGGGCCAUGGGAUUUCCAAAGGAGCUUUCUGCAUUGAUAUAAUAUUAAAGUAGGGUUUGAUAGAUUACAUUUCUUUUACUGUAAAGCAAAACAAUAAAAGCAUAGACAGUAUGAAAAGAUGAGACAGAAUUUUGCACUGGGAGUGCAGUCUGUGCCCAACCAACCACUCUGUUAUCAGGUUGAGAUAACAAGCGUGUUGUGAUUAAUAACUACAAAAGAAGUUUCUGAGGAUUAGGUACUUCACAAGUAAUCCUUAAUAGCUCUAUGCAGCAGGUUUCCUGCUAACACUGUUUUGAUCCCCAUCUCGAGGAGCCAUAAACGAGCUUCAGACCAUUGCCUUUGGUGAAAAAACCCUGAUUUAUACCAGCAGAGAGUAUUUCCUUUGCAUUGCCGGGAUUGUUGCUGCACAGUUUCAUUGUUCUAAAUGUGAAAAAACCAAGCAGCAGCCAAGGCUUAUUUCUGGUUGUGUCACAGGUGAACUUUAGUCGCCAAACUCAAUGAAAGGAAUUGCAGAUAAAAUGAAAUCCAUGCCAUCUUAAGGUAAUUAUCGAGUAUUAAUAAAGUCUUAGAAAUGUAGUUGAAUCAUAGUUCAUAGGUUUUAAGAACUUCUUGAGAAACCUGAUGUAUGUGAGAUGCUGCUUCUCAGUUUUUCUUUUAAAUCUCCAAUCAUUGUGCACAAUUUCAUCAUAUUCAAUUCUAUUUUGAUAGAGAUAAAUGCACAUUUGAGAUGUUUUCUAGGCUGGAUGUUCAUUGCCUGGUCCUUGUGUAUUACAUUAUGUGGCUCUUUCAUAAUUAUAAGGAUUUAUCUACUCAGAAUUCUUCCAAACCGGCUCUUCAGGCAUAGUUCCAGCAUAGGUUGUACUAAAGGGGAAAAAGAUACUUUAAAGCUGAAGUAGAGCACCUAGCAUGGUAAUUAUUCUUGACUUGCUAUUUUGGUAAACUUCCAGAUGCAGACAAAUCCUAAGAGAUCAAUUAAA
This is a long non-coding RNA of Cuculus canorus (common cuckoo), 2280 nucleotides long. RefSeq lists it as uncharacterized. The record is from RefSeq and is a predicted model, not a curated record. The transcript has 4 exons. NCBI's taxonomy places the organism in Eukaryota, Metazoa, Chordata, Aves, Cuculiformes, Cuculidae.